AUUGAAACACUGGUUCCUAUAUGAUCACCAGAGUUAAGCAACAUUGAAACUAAUCAGUACCUAGAUGGGUGACUGUUUGGGAAUACCAGGUGCUGUAAG
This is a non-coding RNA of Acanthosepion pharaonis, 99 nucleotides long. Lineage: Eukaryota; Metazoa; Mollusca; Cephalopoda; Sepiida; Sepiidae. The record is from the annotation of a GenBank genome assembly.